GCAGCCGCCCGGGAAAACGUAGGUGGCAAGCGUUGUCCGGAAUUAUUGGGCGUAAAGCGACUGUAGGUGGCUUUUCAAGUCCGCCAUCAAAUCCCAGGGCUCAACCCUGGACAGGUGGUGGAAACUACCAAGCUGGAGUACGGUAGGGGCAGAGGGAAUUUCCAGUGGAGCGGUGAAAUUCGUUGAGAUCGGAAAGAACACCAACAGCGAAAGCACUCUGCUGGGCCGACACUGACACUGAGAGACGAGAGCUAGGGGAGCAAAUGGGAUUAGAUACCCCGGUAGUCCCUGUCUCUUAUACC
RNAcentral lists this ribosomal RNA (302 nucleotides) under uncultured bacterium. Its description in RNAcentral is "partial 16S ribosomal RNA". It matches the Rfam family "Bacterial small subunit ribosomal RNA", at positions 511 to 808 of the family's 1533-position model. The record is from RNAcentral.